UACGUAGGUGGCAAGCGUUGUCCGGAUUUAUUGGGUUUAAAGGGUGCGUAGGCGGCUUUGUAAGUCAGUGGUGAAAUACUCUAGCUUAACUAGAGGGGUGCCAUUGAUACUGCAGAGCUUGAGUACAGAUGAGGUAGGCGGAAUUGACGGUGUAGCGGUGAAAUGCGUAGAUAUCGUCAAGAACACCGAUAGCGAAGGCAGCUUACUGGGCUGUAACUGACGCUGAUGCACGAAAGUGUGGGGAUCAAACGGG
Molecule: ribosomal RNA, 253 nt
Filed under: uncultured bacterium
Lineage: Bacteria
Description: partial 16S ribosomal RNA
Rfam family: Bacterial small subunit ribosomal RNA
Source: RNAcentral